CCCAACUAUCCCUAUUAAUCAUUAUGGUGAUUCAGAAACCAACAAAACAGGACCACCGUCCUAUUUUAUUAUUCCAUGCUAAUGUAUUCAGACAUAAGCCUGCUUUGAACACUCUAAUUUUUUCAAGAUUAAGGUCCUGGUUUCCUACCACGCUAAAUUAAUAACAUGAUAGUUCCCCAGAAGGUAGAAAUUCUACACGCCAGUACAGACAAUAGCCCGACCAAUGGGUAGACCCCGAAGUUCAACUACGAGCUUUUUAACUGCAACAACUUUAAUAUACGCUAUUGGAGCUGGAAUUACCGCGGCUGCUGGCACCAGACUUGCCCUCCAA
This 331-nucleotide unclassified non-coding RNA is filed under the name uncultured Diversisporales. RNAcentral's name for it is "sequence contains 18S rRNA gene". The record is from RNAcentral. Lineage: Eukaryota; Fungi; Glomeromycota; Glomeromycetes; Diversisporales.